GCAAGUCGAGCGAAUGGAUUGAGAGCUUGCUCUCAAGAAGUUAGCGGCGGACGGGUGAGUAACACGUGGGUAACCUGCCCAUAAGACUGGGAUAACUCCGGGAAACCGGGGCUAAUACCGGAUAACAUUUUGAACUGCAUGGUUCGAAAUUGAAAGGCGGCUUCGGCUGUCACUUAUGGAUGGACCCGCGUCGCAUUAGCUAGUUGGUGAGGUAACGGCUCACCAAGGCAACGAUGCGUAGCCGACCUGAGAGGGUGAUCGGCCACACUGGGACUGAGACACGGCCCAGACUCCUACGGGAGGCAGCAGUAGGGAAUCUUCCGCAAUGGACGAAAGUCUGACGGAGCAACGCCGCGUGAGUGAUGAAGGCUUUCGGGUCGUAAAACUCUGUUGUUAGGGAAGAACAAGUGCUAGUUGAAUAAGCUGGCACCUUGACGGUACCUAACCAGAAAGCCACGGCUAACUACGUGCCAGCAGCCGCGGUAAUACGUAGGUGGCAAGCGUUAUCCGGAAUUAUUGGGCGUAAAGCGCGCGCAGGUGGUUUCUUAAGUCUGAUGUGAAAGCCCACGGCUCAACCGUGGAGGGUCAUUGGAAACUGGGAGACUUGAGUGCAGAAGAGGAAAGUGG
This 627-nucleotide ribosomal RNA is filed under the name Bacillus thuringiensis. Its description in RNAcentral is "bacterial SSU rRNA". It matches the Rfam family "Bacterial small subunit ribosomal RNA", at positions 57 to 664 of the family's 1533-position model. The record is from RNAcentral. Lineage: Bacteria; Bacillati; Bacillota; Bacilli; Caryophanales; Bacillaceae.